RNAcentral lists this ribosomal RNA (497 nucleotides) under uncultured bacterium. RNAcentral's name for it is "partial 16S ribosomal RNA". It matches the Rfam family "Bacterial small subunit ribosomal RNA", at positions 28 to 507 of the family's 1533-position model. The record is from RNAcentral.
GAUGAACGCUGGCGGCGUGCCUAAUACAUGCAAGUCGAGCGAACAGACGAGGAGCUUGCUCCUCUGACGUUAGCGGCGGACGGGUGAGUAACACGUGGAUAACCUCCCUAUAAGACUGGGAUAACUUCGGGAAACCGGAGCUAAUACCGGAUAAUAUAUUGAACCGCAUGGUUCAAUAGUUAAAGACGGUUUUGCUGUCACUUAUAGAUGGAUCCGCGCCGCAUUAGCUAGUUGGUAAGGUAACGGCUUACCAAGGCAACGAUGCGUAGCCGACCUGAGAGGGUGAUCGGCCACACUGGAACUGAGACACGGUCCAGACGCCUACGGGAGGCAGCAGUAGGGAAUCUUCCGCAAUGGGCGAAAGCUUGACGGAGCAACGCCGCGUGAGUGAUGAAGGUCUUCGGAUCGUAAAACUCUGUUAUUAGGGAAGAACAAAUGUGUAAGUAACUAUGCACGUCUUGACGGUACCUAAUCAGAAAGCCACGGCUAACUACGUG